ACCCGCCACGCCGACUGGAAGACUGGGGGACCGUGAAGCCGGUGGGCUAACUCGCAAGAGAGGCAGCCGUCAAAGGUCAAUUCAGUGACUGGGGCG
RNAcentral lists this ribosomal RNA (96 nucleotides) under uncultured bacterium. Its description in RNAcentral is "partial 16S ribosomal RNA". The record is from RNAcentral.